UGUUCAAAAUUCCAUCUACUUCUAUCCUUAAAAAUUGACUUGGCUGUCAGAAUAAUAAAAUAGUGAUGUGUGGCGUGCUACAUGUACUUUAUGUUGACAUACAUGAGUCAAUUUUUAAUAGUAGAAAUUAAUAAAAAUUUUAACA
Molecule: non-coding RNA, 145 nt
Organism: Gossypium hirsutum (cotton)
Lineage: Eukaryota; Viridiplantae; Streptophyta; Magnoliopsida; Malvales; Malvaceae
Source: Rfam